UACGGAGGGUGCAGGCGUUAUCCGGAUUCACUGGGUUUAAAGGGUGCGUAGGUGGGUCUGUAAGUCCGUGGUGAAAUCUCCAAGCUUAACUUGGAAACUGCCGUGGAUACUAUAGAUCUUGAAUAUUGUGGAGGUAAGCGGAAUAUGUCAUGUAGCGGUGAAAUGCUUAGAUAUGACAUAGAACACCGAUAGCGAAGGCAGCUUGCUACACAAUCAUUGACACUGAGGCACGAAAGCGUGGGGAUCAAACAGG
Molecule: ribosomal RNA, 253 nt
Filed under: uncultured bacterium
Lineage: Bacteria
Description: partial 16S ribosomal RNA
Rfam family: Bacterial small subunit ribosomal RNA
Source: RNAcentral